RNAcentral lists this long non-coding RNA (1181 nucleotides) under Ananas comosus (pineapple). RNAcentral's name for it is "long non-coding RNA (ACOM_LNC025642)". Lineage: Eukaryota; Viridiplantae; Streptophyta; Magnoliopsida; Poales; Bromeliaceae. The record is from RNAcentral.
UGCUGCAUCUUCUGAGGCAGAUCGUGGCAAAGGCGUUGCGAGCUAGAGCCCUACCCGACGAGUCACCGAGCUAGAGGAUUACCCGCUUCAGGUAGUGUGGUUUUUGAGUUCAUAUACAUACCUUUGCUAUAUCUCGCUGGGCGAGUUUUUGUAUACUGGAUAUUGUAUGUAUAGUGAACUGUCUUUUUCUACCUGGAUAUCUUUGUCUUCUUGCACUCUAUACUACUGGUCAUAGUAUUGUAUAUUUUACAGGUACAGCUAUCGCUUUGUAUAUAGGAGAAAUUUCUUUGUAUACAGCGGAUUUGUCGGCGGACCCGGGAAACGUGAAAUCCGGGGCGUGACAUGAAUUUUCAUUGUUUGUUGCCACAUAGCAAGUUUUUCUUCACCCUCACUAGCAUGCGAUACUUCUUUUUUCCCUCACUAAACUUUCAAUGUAUAUUUUAAUAGUUCCACUAACAAAACUUUCAAUUAAUGUAUUUAAAUGGUUUCACUAACAAAACUUUCAAUUAAUAUAUUUAAAUAGUCUCACUAUCAUCUACCAUUCUAUCAUUUCUAUCUACAAUUAUUCAUUAUAACACUUUCCAUUCCCUCCACUAUACUUUCAAUUAAUGCAAACGAUUCCACUACCAAACUUUCAAUUAGUAUGCUUAAGUGAUCUCACUAUCUUCUUACAUUCCUAAUCUCUUUAUCACCAAUUAUUCAUUAUGGCCAUUUUCCUUCCUUCCACGAGACUUUUAAUUUUUUAUCUCCAAUCUAUUCAUCAAUUCUCUAGCUUUUAUCUUUUACUAUACACCAUCACCUCCUUUCCUCACUCCCUCCCUCUCUCUCACUAAUGCGUGCCCAUUUUCCCUUUCCGGCAUGACGUUUCGUGGAUAUAUCAAGUGAGAUACACAAGAGAAUGUUUAAUAUUUUUUUAUUAUUAAUUAUUACUAUAAUUUCUAUCUGCUGCAAAACACGGGCCCUUCACUAGUUUAGCUAUAAAAUGAUAAUCCUUCUGGAUCCGACUACUUUACCUUUAAAAAUUUUGAUUUUACCAUAUGACCUUUUAAUUUAUUUAAUUUAAGCUAAUUAAUGAUCUUUUAAUUUUUUAAAUUUAAAUACAUCAUUUAUCAUUACGUGUUUAAUUAGUAUAUUUUGUCUUAAAUUUCAUAUAUCCGAAAAGCAAUCAAAGUAUUUAAAUU